RNAcentral lists this ribosomal RNA (253 nucleotides) under uncultured bacterium. Its description in RNAcentral is "partial 16S ribosomal RNA". It matches the Rfam family "Archaeal small subunit ribosomal RNA", at positions 474 to 727 of the family's 1478-position model. The record is from RNAcentral.
UACCAGCACCCCGAGCGGUCGGGACGAUUAUUGGGCCUAAAGCAUCCGUAGCCGGUUCUACAAGUCUUCCGUUAAAUCCACCUGCUUAACAGAUGGGCUGCGGAGGAUACUAUGGAGCUAGGAGGCGGGAGAGGCAAGCGGUACUUAGUGGGUAGGGGUAAAAUCCGUUGAUCCAUUGAAGACCACCAGUGGCGAAGGCGGUGCUCUGGGCCGGAACUGACGCUGAGGAGCGAAAGCGUGGGGAGCAAACAGG